Molecule: small RNA, 158 nt
Filed under: Microbispora rosea
Lineage: Bacteria; Bacillati; Actinomycetota; Actinomycetes; Streptosporangiales; Streptosporangiaceae
Description: c-di-AMP sequence
Rfam family: c-di-AMP riboswitch aptamer (ydaO/yuaA leader)
About the family: This family represents a conserved RNA structure found upstream of the ydaO and yuaA genes in Bacillus subtilis and related genes in other bacteria. The ydaO/yuaA element is thought to act as a genetic "off" switch for the ydaO and yuaA genes in its native state. It is believed that the element may be triggered during osmotic shock leading to activation of ydaO, a predicted amino acid transporter gene, and members of the yuaA-yubG operon which code for KtrA and KtrB K+ transporters.
Source: RNAcentral
GCGACGGUGAUGCCGAAUCCGUGCAGCAAGGAGGCUCGGAGCCGGGGAACCAAUCGACCUUCGACGAAGGUCUGGGGUGAAUCGGCGCGCCAGCGCCGUAGGGCAACUUCCCUGCCCGAAUCCGUCAGCUAACCCGGUAGGCGCAAGCGGAAGACCAA